GUUGACAAUAUAAAUUGCUAAAAAGGUUUGUCCUAUGGGACCUCAUCUUGCAUAUAUCGGCUCGCUCAUCCCUAACUAAAGUAAACAAGUAAAGGCUCAAAGCAAAUCCUUGAAGUAAUCACGCUGUUCAGGGGGAAUCCUUAAUAUCAAUCAUCACCACAGCUUCUCGCACUUGUGAAGGCUCCUUCAUAAAUAUUCAUUAUCUCACUCUUAUCUAUCUUAUAUGAAUUCA
RNAcentral lists this unclassified non-coding RNA (232 nucleotides) under Hevea brasiliensis (rubber tree). The record is from RNAcentral. Lineage: Eukaryota; Viridiplantae; Streptophyta; Magnoliopsida; Malpighiales; Euphorbiaceae.